This 486-nucleotide ribosomal RNA is filed under the name uncultured bacterium. RNAcentral's name for it is "partial 16S ribosomal RNA". It matches the Rfam family "Bacterial small subunit ribosomal RNA", at positions 30 to 507 of the family's 1533-position model. The record is from RNAcentral.
AUUGAACGCUGGCGGCAUGCCUUACACAUGCAAGUCGAACGGCAGCACGGUUGCUUGCACCUGGUGGCGAGUGGCGAACGGGUGUGUAAUACAUCGGAACAUGUCCUGUAGUGGGGGAUAGCCCGGCGAAAGCCGGAUUAAUACCGCAUACGAUCUACGGAUGAAAGCGGGGGACCUUCGGGCCUCGCGCUAUAGGGUUGGCCGAUGGCUGAUUAGCUAGUUGGUGGGGUAAAGGCCUACCAAGGCGACGAUCAGUAGCUGGUCUGAGAGGACGACCAGCCACACUGGGACUGAGACACGGCCCAGACUCCUACGGGAGGCAGCAGUGGGGAAUUUUGGACAAUGGGCGAAAGCCUGAUCCAGCAAUGCCGCGUGUGUGAAGAAGGCCUUCGGGUUGUAAAGCACUUUUGUCCGGAAAGAAAUCCUUGGCCCUAAUACGGUCGGGGGAUGACGGUACCGGAAGAAUAAGCACCGGCUAACUACGUG